GCGGAGGCACGGGAUCGCGGCAAGGGGAUCGCUUAGCUAGCUAGCGAGGAGCGGUACUUUGCCUAGGUGGUUUACUCUUUCUUUUUGUAGUUGAGAGAGUGAGAGGUUUUGUCUCCAUGUAUAGAGACCACCUAUGUAUCUACCUAUAGCACUUGUAUCUGGGAUUCCCUUGUAUCACUUUAUAUUUUAUUUAGUGGAUUUACAGUUUUAUCCUUAUCCUUUGUUGUAGCAUUUAGACAUUUAUUAUGCUCUGAUACUCCUAGAUGUCUUUUAUUAUUGCUUUUAUUAUUGUUGUUUUAGACGCCUUAUACGUUUUAGACGUAUGGCGGGUCUGGGCACGCGCCGGGCGGGCUUCCGCUGGGUCCCGGAGCGUGACACGACCCUUCGUGCCCCCGACUCUCUUAGCUCCAAGACUUUAGGUGAUGUCACAAUGCUACGAUUCGGGUUUCGUGAUUUUUGGAAGCUUACGCCGCGAGCUGCGACAAUCUGUACCGAAAUCGGCAUUUUCUUCAAUAUCUUCACGUAGCCUCGUCGUAUCGCCGAACCGACUUCGCCAACGCGUCAGAAAACCUAGCAAUUAGAUUUAUACAUGCUCAAUUUAGAUCAAACCUCUACAUAUUGCAAAACCCCAAUUUGAGCCUUAACAUGCUACUAUUGCAAGAAAUCACCAAAUUGGAACUUGAUUCAUGCAAUUAACAUGUUAUUAGCAUCUAGGGAGUUCUCUAAACCCAUUCCUAGAGCAUACGAAUCAUUCCUUAGCAAUCUACCAUAGUUACUACCAAAGCUUACCUCCAAAGCUUUCUCUAAUAGAGAGGAAGAAGAUGAAAGCUUGAGCUCCAAGCUACUCUCCAACUUUCAAGGAUUCUACUCCAACUUCUUCUCCAAUUAAUCCUCUUUUGUGGAGAGAUUAGAAGAGAAAAGGAGUGAGGGGUGAGAACUAGAGAGAAAGAGAGAAAAAGAGAAAAGAAACUUGCUCUCCAAGUCUCUCUCGGGUUGGGCACAAAUGAGAAAAAGAGUGCAAGUUCACAUAUAUAUACUCCCAAAAUACUAUUCACAUCAGAUUGUGGCUCAGGUACAGAUAUUUUUCGUCUGCCCUUCAGAACGUCCGAUUGAGCUCAAACUUGGCAGUCACGAUCAGUUUAACCUUACUUAACGAAAGAAAUUUUAAUCUUUCAGUUUCGACCCCGUUUGGUCACCGAAAGCUGUACCGAACUGUAAUCUUUAUCAGAUAACUGUCGGAUUUUAUUUUCCACCUUCCGGGUGUCAGAAUGGCAUGAAACUUUAAAUCUAGCCUCAUAAAAAUAAUCCUAACGUAUUCCCAAAUUUUCGGAAUUUUCUGACACCGUGCAUUUUCUGCUAAAAUAUCAGCCCGGUCUCACACAGAAAAUUCUCAAUCUUCUAUUUUCACUCCGAUUUCCGCACGAGUCAAUCCUGACGUAUAAUUUACUUGUCUAAGUCCAAUAAAAAUAGUAUCUCACACUAUUUUUAUUUAUUUUUAUCCUUAUUUUAAAAUUCGGUAUGCUACAGGAACUAGUGGUAUAUAUGAAAACUAUUAUGGGAUAACGAAAUAAUUAAGAUUUAUGGAAAUAUAAUGUGGA
RNAcentral lists this long non-coding RNA (1598 nucleotides) under Ananas comosus (pineapple). Its description in RNAcentral is "long non-coding RNA (ACOM_LNC010109)". Lineage: Eukaryota; Viridiplantae; Streptophyta; Magnoliopsida; Poales; Bromeliaceae. The record is from RNAcentral.